This is a long non-coding RNA of Papaver somniferum (opium poppy), 1801 nucleotides long. RefSeq lists it as uncharacterized. The transcript is spliced from 2 exons. The record is from RefSeq and is a predicted model, not a curated record. Lineage: Eukaryota; Viridiplantae; Streptophyta; Magnoliopsida; Ranunculales; Papaveraceae.
UUCUCCAAAAUCUUCAUCGACCCCUUCUGAUUUUCUUCUCCUUCUUCCUUGGAAGCGUAAUGAGAAAGUGAGAAUCAAGUUUCAUCUUUUCCUUUAACUUCUUCAAAUCAUUCAAUUAAUUUCAAGUUCAUCUUCUCCUGCAAUUUCUUCUAUUAAGGCUUGUUUAGUUUGAGAAAAAAUGGAAAAUUAGGGCUUGAUGGAUCUGAUUUUUUGCAGAAAGAAUUUAUGAUGUUGCGAAUAUUAUAUCGGGAGAACAUGAUUUGGGUUCGCUAACAAAAGAAGAAGUUGCAGUUGAAAGAGAUUGUAAAUCAAUAAAAACCAACUAAAGAAGAUUCUCAUAUUGCACAGAUAACUUUAGGGUUUCGGAUUUGGGGAUUUUUAAGAAACAAAAUAAUUCUAGGGAUUCUAUUGAAUCUGAUAGUGAAGAGGAGAAAACUAGGGUUUGAGAUUCACAGAGAAGAACACAGCAAGCUUGAAUCAGUGUUAAUUUGGUUUGGAUUUGAGUUAUGUUGCUCGAAUUUAAGAGAAAAGGUUUUGCUGGUGGAAAAUGAAGUAUGGGUUCGAUUGAGAUGGAAUUGGUGUUGGUUACAGUCUUGAUUUGGUGGUGAAUAUAAUGGGUAUUUGUUUGAUUUCGUUUUGAGAAGAAUUUGGAUUCGCAGUGGUGUUGGUGGUAAAGCAGUGGUGGUAUUGAACUCUAGCCGGAGUUGAGAUGAAGCUGAUGUUAGAAAGAUUCAGAAGCUGGUUACGAAUUAAAGAGUGGGUCUGGGUUGAAUUAGCUGUUGGUUGUGGCCAUGAAUGUUAUGUUGCUGCAAAUGGAGGUUGAGUUGAUGGUCCUGUAGUUGAAUUGUUGGUGGUUGCAGGUAACUGAAACUUGGGAUGAUUGAAGCUACAUAAUUUAUCCUAGAUGUAUGUUAGGACCACAGUCAGAUAAGAAAUGAGUUGUGAUGAAUAUGUGUACUACUAGAAGAGAACGGGAAGGGAUUGUGUUGCAGGCUUAGAAGAUGGUGGUUGAAAUGGAACUAGGGGCUUUGUAUUUGGCAGAACAAGGUUGCAGCUGCUGUACAGAUGAAGGCUAGGACAACAGUCAUGAAAGGCGCAGUGAUGAUGAGCUGGUGGUGUUUGAACUAUGAACUGGAUUUGCAUUAGUUUAUACGGUUUGCAGCUGGUGUUGUAUGGAAGGAGUAUGCAUUGUAUGGAUGUAUCUGAAGUCGAAGUACAUGGAUCUCAAGAACUGGAGCUGCAUUAGGAGACAGGAAAUGGCAGGAGUAUAUGAACUGCGAUGGACUGAGACAGUGAAUGGAUGCAGUUGUGCUGCUGGUGGUGGUAUGUUAGAGUUCCAGAUUGCAACUACAGAGAACAAGGUUUAUAUGCCUUGGCAUGUGUAGCUGAACUGACGCAAAUGACGAAUGGAGAAUGAAUAGGUUUGAGUAGAUGAAUGUUAGGUUGUGCAGGGAAGCUAGCAAUGAAAUGACAUGAAAUUAUGGCCGGGAAACAACCAUAAACAUGGGAGACAGGAAUUGCAAGCAAUAAGAAGUAGAGUUGAUUUGGAGUUGACUCGACUCGGCGUUUCAAGUCGGCGAUUCAAGAAAAUAAAAUCCAACUCUACUCAGGAGGGAGGGAUUUUUGGAAAUUUUGACCCUGCCACCUAAGCGUUAACAGCUGCUAACUGUUAUUUACCGUUUUUUGAAUAAAACGGUCAAGGCAAGGGUACUUUAACAAAUUUUUAAAAAACGGGGACUUUUUUUUAUUGUAAUGUUAAAAAAUAGGGAUACUUUAUCAAAAAGCCUUAUAUCAUUUUGUU